This 295-nucleotide unclassified non-coding RNA is filed under the name Hevea brasiliensis (rubber tree). The record is from RNAcentral. Lineage: Eukaryota; Viridiplantae; Streptophyta; Magnoliopsida; Malpighiales; Euphorbiaceae.
AAAAAAAAAAUAUCAAAGUAACAGCAGUAGAGAGGGAAAAACUAAACCCAAGAAUCAAAAGUGCAAACCAAGGUGAGAAACCGGCUGGGCAAAGGCGCAAAGACCUAGGGAGAUUGUCAGAGGAGAAAUCUGCCCCAAAAAAACCCCAGAAACGGCAACACGCGCUGGCGCGUGGGAUCGGUAGCAGAACUUGUGAUGUAGAAUAAAGGGAAGAAAAAUAAAGAACUAGGAGAAGUUAAGGACCAAUCAUUGGAAAAGAGAAGUAAUUUUUAAUAAUUUUAUUUAAUUUCAAUAA